UCGAGGGGUAACAGAGGUAGCUUGCUACUUGCUGACGACCGGCGCACGGGUGCGUAACGCGUAUAGAAUCUACCUUAUACUGGGGGAUAGCCUUUGGAAACGAAGAUUAAUACCCCAUAGUAUGUUUGAAUGGCAUCAUUUGGACAUUAAAGUUUCGGCGGUAUAAGAUGACUAUGCGUUCUAUUAGUUUGUUGGUAAGGUAACGGCUUACCAAGACUACGAUAGAUAGGGGUCCUGAGAGGGAGAUCCCCCACACUGGUACUGAGACACGGACCAGACUCCUACGGGAGGCAGCAGUGAGGAAUAUUGGACAAUGGAGGCAACUCUGAUCCAGCCAUGCCGCGUGUAGGAAGACUGCCCUAUGGGUUGUAAACUACUUUUAUAUGGGAAGAAUAAGGUCUACGUGUAGACUGAUGACGGUACCAUAAGAAUAAGCACCGGCUAACUCCGUGCCAGCAGCCGCGGUAAUACGGAGGGUGCAAGCGUUAUCCGGAAUCAUUGGGUUUAAAGGGUCCGUAGGCGGGCAUAUAAGUCAGUGGUGAAAGUCUGUGGCUCAACCAUAGAAUUGCCAUUGAUACUGUAUGUCUUGAAUUAUUGUGAAGUGGUUAGAAUAUGUAGUGUAGCGGUGAAAUGCUUAGAGAUUACAUAGAAUACCGAUUGCGAAGGCAGAUCACUAACAAUAUAUUGACGCUGAUGGACGAAAGCGUAGGUAGCGAACAGGAUUAGAUACCCUGGUAGUCUACGCCGUAAACGAUGGAUACUAGUUGUUUGGUCUUCGGACUGAGUGACUAAGCGAAAGUGAUAAGUAUCCCACCUGGGGAGUACGUUCGCAAGAAUGAAACUCAAAGGAAUUGACGGGGGCCCGCACAAGCGGUGGAGCAUGUGGUUUAAUUCGAUGAUACGCGAGGAACCUUACCAGGGCUUAAAUGUAGAUUGACAGGACUAGAGAUAGUUUUUUCUUCGGACAAUUUACAAGGUGCUGCAUGGUUGUCGUCAGCUCGUGCCGUGAGGUGUCAGGUUAAGUCCUAUAACGAGCGCAACCCCUGUGGUUAGUUGCCAGCGAGUAAUGUCGGGAACUCUAGCCAGACUGCCGGUGCAAACCGUGAGGAAGGUGGGGAUGACGUCAAAUCAUCACGGCCCUUACGUCCUGGGCCACACACGUGCUACAAUGGUAGGGACAGAGAGCAGCCACUGGGCGACCAGGAGCGAAUCUAUAAACCCUAUCUCAGUUCGGAUUGGAGUCUGCAACUCGACUCCAUGAAGCUGGAAUCGCUAGUAAUCGGAUAUCAGCCAUGAUCCGGUGAAUACGUUCCCGGGCCUUGUACACACCGCCCGUCAAGCCAUGGAAGCUGGGGGUACCUG
Molecule: ribosomal RNA, 1362 nt
Filed under: bacterium
Lineage: Bacteria
Description: bacterial SSU rRNA
Rfam family: Bacterial small subunit ribosomal RNA
Source: RNAcentral